Molecule: ribosomal RNA, 497 nt
Filed under: uncultured bacterium
Lineage: Bacteria
Description: partial 16S ribosomal RNA
Rfam family: Bacterial small subunit ribosomal RNA
Source: RNAcentral
GAUGAACGCUGGCGGCGUGCCUAAUACAUGCAAGUCGAGCGAACAGACGAGGAGCUUGCUCCUCUGACGUUAGCGGCGGACGGGUGAGUAACACGUGGAUAACCUACCUAUAAGACUGGGAUAACUUCGGGAAACCGGAGCUAAUACCGGAUAAUAUAUUGAACCGCAUGGUUCAAUAGUGAAAGACGGUUUUGCUGUAACUUAUAGAUGGAUCCGCGCCGCAUUAGCUAGUUGGUAAGGUAACGGCUUACCAAGGCAACGAUGCGUAGCCGACCUGAGAGGGUGAUCGGCCACACUGGAACUGAGACACGGUCCACACUCCGACGGGAGGCAGCAGUAGGGAAUCUUACGCAAUGGGCGAAAGCCUGACGGAGCAACGCCGCGUGAGGGAUGAAGGUCUUCGGAUCGUAAAACUCUGUUAUUAGUGAAGAACAAAUGUGUAAGUAACUAUGCACGUCUUGACGGUACCUAAUCAGAAAGCCACGGCUAACUACGUG